RNAcentral lists this small RNA (125 nucleotides) under Marmota monax (woodchuck). The record is from RNAcentral. Lineage: Eukaryota; Metazoa; Chordata; Mammalia; Rodentia; Sciuridae.
GUUGGGUGUAGUCGCGCACACCUGUAAUCCCGGCAGCUCCUGAGGCUGAGGCAGGAGGAUCCUGAGUUCAAAGCCAGCCUCUGCAAAAGUGAGGUGCUAAGCAACUCAGUGAGACCCUGUCUCUA